This 827-nucleotide long non-coding RNA is filed under the name Bos taurus (domestic cattle). RNAcentral describes it as "long non-coding RNA NONBTAT022964". The record is from RNAcentral. Lineage: Eukaryota; Metazoa; Chordata; Mammalia; Artiodactyla; Bovidae.
GAAGCUGAGAAGCGCGGAGGCGAGAUGACUCCGUCUCCCAUCCCACUCAAAGAGCGCUCUGGCGAGCAGUCCGUGGAUCGCUGUAAAGAUACAGGCGCCACCCAGCAGUCCGGCGAGAAGGACCGCGUCAGGGAUAAAGCUCGGAAGCGGCUCAAGGCCUCGGGCGGUAGCAGCAGCUCAGGGGCUCGGUCCCGCGCGGGCUCCAGCCGCGGCUCCAGCUCGCCCUCAGCAUCUGGCCGCUCGGGAUGCUCCAGUGGGUCCCGCAGCUCCAGCUCCAGCAGCUCCCCCCGGCUCUCCGAGGCCUUGGUGUCCCCGAGAUCACAAGCGGCAGUCCGGUUCCAAACCCAAACCACCCGGACAAGACAAGAAGGAAAGGAGACGGCGCAGCCCCGCCCCUAAGCCCACCAAAGUGCACGUAGCAAGGCUCACCCGGAAGGUGACCAGGGAGCACAUCUGGGAGAUAUUCUCCACCUUCGGGAGAGUUAGAGCGAUCGACCUGCCCAGAGAAAGGAUGCGCGCGCAUCCGUCUCAAGGCCACGCCUACGUGGAGUUCAAGAAUCCGGAAGAGGCUGCGAAGGCGCUCAAGCACAUGGAGGGAGAGCAAUCGACGCCCAGCAGAUCACGGCCACAGCCAUGCUGGCCCCCUGGCCCCAGCCACCCCCAGACGACUGAGCCCUCCCCGGAGAAUGCUGCCACCGCCCCCUUGGCACAGGCUGAGGAGGAGCAGGUCGCGUUCCCCUUGGGGCAGGUCCCCCAAGCGCCAGCGACCCCGAUCCCCCCGCCGCCGCCGCCGCCACUGGAGCGGCUUCAGCUCCGUCUCCUGCCGA